GGCUCAGAAUCAACGCUGGCGGCGUGCCUAACACAUGCAAGUCGAACGAGAAAGCGGGGGCAACUCCGUGAGUACAGUGGCAGACGGGUGAGUAACACGUGAACAACCUACCCUCGAGUGGGGAAUAACACCGCGAAAGCGGUGCUAAUACCGCAUAACAUCCUUGGAUCGCAUGAUUUGAGGAUCAAGGGCGAAAGUCGCUUGAGGAGGGGUUCGCGGCUGAUUAGCUAGUUGGUGAGGUAACGGCCCACCAAGGCAACGAUCAGUAGCCGGCCUGAGAGGGCGAACGGCCACACUGGAACUGAGACACGGUCCAGACUCCUACGGGAGGCAGCAGUGGGGAAUUUUGCGCAAUGGGCGAAAGCCUGACGCAGCAACGCCGCGUGGAGGAUGAAGGCCUUCGGGUCGUAAACUCCUGUCAGUAGGGACGAAUGCCUCGCAAGAGGUUUGACUGUACCUGCUGAGGAAGCCACGGCUAACUUCGUGCCAGCAGCCGCGGUAAUACGAGGGUGGCAAGCGUUGUUCGGAAUUACUGGGCGUAAAGGGCGCGUAGGCGGCAUGGCAAGUCAGAUGUGAAAUCCCCGAGCUUAACUUGGGAAUUGCAUCUGAAACUGCUUUGCUUGAGUCCUGGAUGGGGUAGUGGAAUUCCCAGUGUAGCGGUGAAAUGCGUAGAUAUUGGGAGGAACACCAGCGGCGAAGGCGGCUACCUGGACAGUGACUGACGCUGAGGCGCGAAAGCUAGGGGAGCGAACGGGAUUAGAUACCCCGGUAGUCCUAGCUGUAAACGAUGGGUACUUGGUGUUGGGGGUAUUGAGUCCCCCGGUGCCGGAGUUAACACGUUAAGUACCCCGCCUGGGGAGUACGGUCGCCAGACUGAAACU
Molecule: ribosomal RNA, 881 nt
Filed under: uncultured bacterium
Lineage: Bacteria
Description: bacterial SSU rRNA
Rfam family: Bacterial small subunit ribosomal RNA
Source: RNAcentral